CCUACGGGGGGCUGCAGUGAGGAAUAUUGGUCAAUGGGCGGAAGCCUGAACCAGCCAAGUAGCGUGCAGGAUGACGGCCCUACGGGUUGUAAACUGCUUUUAUACGGGAAUAACGCGCCUUACGUGUAGGGCUUUGCAUGUACCGUAUGAAUAAGGACCGGCUAAUUCCGUGCCAGCAGCCGCGGUAAUACGGAAGGUUCGGGCGUUAUCCGGAUUUAAUGGGUUUAAAGGGUGCGUAGGCCGCAUGUCAAGCGUGCUGUGAAAUGUCCGGGCUCAACCCGGGCCUUGCAGCGCGAACUGGCGUGCUUGAGUCCGCGGAAAGCAGGCGGAAUUCGUCGUGUAGCGGUGAAAUGCUUAGAUAUGACGAAGAACCCCGAUUGCGAAGGCAGCUUGCUGCAGCGGAACUGACGCUGAUGCUCGAAAGCGCGGGUAUCGAACAGGAUUAGAUACCCCAGUAGUC
This 460-nucleotide ribosomal RNA is filed under the name uncultured bacterium. RNAcentral describes it as "partial 16S ribosomal RNA". It matches the Rfam family "Bacterial small subunit ribosomal RNA", at positions 338 to 795 of the family's 1533-position model. The record is from RNAcentral.